GUGAACGCUGGCGGUAGGCCUAACCCAUGCCAGUCGAACGGCAGCACAGUAAGAGCUUGCUCUUACGGGUGGCGAGUGGCGGACGGGUGAGGAAUACAUCGGAAUCUACUUUUUCGUGGGGGAUAACGUAGGGAAACUUACGCUAAUACCGCAUACGACCUACGGGUGAAAGCAGGGGAUCUUCGGACCUUGCGCGAUUGAAUGAGCCGAUGUCGGAUUAGCUAGUUGGCGGGGUAAAGGCCCACCAAGGCGACGAUCCGUAGCUGGUCUGAGAGGAUGAUCAGCCACACUGGAACUGAGACACGGUCCAGACUCCUACGGGAGGCAGCAGUGGGGAAUAUUGGACAAUGGGCGCAAGCCUGAUCCAGCCAUACCGCGUGGGUGAAGAAGGCCUUCGGGUUGUAAAGCCCUUUUGUUGGGAAAGAAAAGCAGCAGGUUAAUACCCCGCUGUUCUGACGGUACCCAAAGAAUAGCACCGGCUAACUUCGUG
RNAcentral lists this ribosomal RNA (490 nucleotides) under uncultured bacterium. RNAcentral describes it as "partial 16S ribosomal RNA". It matches the Rfam family "Bacterial small subunit ribosomal RNA", at positions 29 to 507 of the family's 1533-position model. The record is from RNAcentral.